UCACUUACCUGGACGGGGUCAAUGGGCGAUCAAAAAGGUCCAUGGCCUAGGUUGGUGACCUCCAUUGCACUUAGGAGGGGUGCCCGCCUAAGGUCGGCCCAAGUGGUCGAGCCUACGUCAUAAUUUGUGGCAGUGGAGGCUUGUGUUCGCGCAGCCUCUU
This 160-nucleotide small nuclear RNA is filed under the name Helianthus annuus (common sunflower). RNAcentral's name for it is "sRNA HanXRQr2_Chr12g0560691". It matches the Rfam family "U1 spliceosomal RNA". From Rfam's summary of the family: U1 is a small nuclear RNA (snRNA) component of the spliceosome (involved in pre-mRNA splicing). Its 5' end forms complementary base pairs with the 5' splice junction, thus defining the 5' donor site of an intron. The record is from Rfam by way of RNAcentral. Lineage: Eukaryota; Viridiplantae; Streptophyta; Magnoliopsida; Asterales; Asteraceae.